Molecule: long non-coding RNA, 867 nt
Organism: Orbicella faveolata
Lineage: Eukaryota; Metazoa; Cnidaria; Anthozoa; Scleractinia; Merulinidae
Source: RefSeq, a predicted model, not a curated record
UCAUCAACGUCACUACCAGCAAAAGUAAUACUAGUGUCAUCGGCGUACAUCCUUGGUUGGGAAUGCUGGAGGCAAUUAGGCAAAUCAUUUAUACAUGUAUACAAUAGAAAUAAAAGGGGCCCAAGAAUCGUUCCCUGUGGAACACCACAGCGAAGGAACAUUUUGGACGAUUUAUUCCCGUUUACAAGACACGUUUGGGUUCGGUUUUUUAAAUAAGAGCAGAACCAUUGAUUUGUGGAACCCUGAAUACCAUAAGCUUGUAAUUUUGAGAGAAGAAUAGAGUGAUCCACAGUAUUGAAAGCCUUCUUAAGAUUGACCUGAUCAAUUAAUUCCAAGACAAUUGCAAAUGGCAAGUGCAUUUCUACUUGGAUAUUUCAGUUGGAAAUUUUGGACUGCCUUUCAAGGUGUUCCAUUUAUUUACAAAAUUUCCUGUUCAGUUGAGCUAAAAUUGUCUUACCAUUUGGGGUAAAUGGUAAUAAACAACUAUUGUUAUCAUGCCUUGGAGUUGAAGAUUUGUCUCUUGGCGGCUACAUGGUAUGGAGUCAUUCUUGGUCGAGCAACCCAACAGUUAAAUUCACUGUUGAAAAACCAGACCAACCUAGAUGAAAAAUUUUAUUUAUUUUUAAUUUCAGGAUCCUAAACUGAGGCGGUUGGCAUAUACAGCAAUUGGAAAACUAGCAAAACGACUUCCUCAACUAUUUGCCAAAGAUGUUGCACUAAUUCAAAGACUCUUCCAAGCUCUCUGCCAGGAAGAAUCUGAUACCCGUUUAUCAGUCCAGGAGGCUCUCUCCAUGAUGGCUCCAUCAUACAGAAAGGCAGACGCAGCUAUUCUAGCCUUGAUAGAGUCUCUUAUACUCAACUAUGUAC